RNAcentral lists this ribosomal RNA (252 nucleotides) under uncultured bacterium. Its description in RNAcentral is "partial 16S ribosomal RNA". It matches the Rfam family "Bacterial small subunit ribosomal RNA", at positions 524 to 776 of the family's 1533-position model. The record is from RNAcentral.
UACAGAGGGUGCAAGCGUUAAUCGGAAUUACUGGCGUAAAGCGUGCGCAGACGGUUGCGUAAGUCAGAUGUGAAAGCCCACGGCUCAACCGUGGAGGGUCAUUGGAAACUGGGGGACUUGAGUGCAGGAGAGAAGAGUGGAAUUCCACGUGUAGCGGUGAAAUGCGUAGAGAUGUGGAGGAACACCAGUGGCGAAGGCGACUCUUUGGCCUGUAACUGACGCUGAGGCGCGAAAGCGUGGGGAGCAAACAGG